RNAcentral lists this unclassified non-coding RNA (223 nucleotides) under Hevea brasiliensis (rubber tree). The record is from RNAcentral. Lineage: Eukaryota; Viridiplantae; Streptophyta; Magnoliopsida; Malpighiales; Euphorbiaceae.
ACAGAACUCAAUCUUGGGGAAAAAUUCCAACCACUAGCAUGUUCCAUCUCCGGAUCAACUGCUCUCAUGCGGAUAUCCUCUUGCAGCUUCAUGAAGUACAUUGAUGACCAGUAAUCUCUUGCUAAGUUCAGUUUCAUCAGCUGCAUCAGUUCACCUAGAGCGUUUUUGAAUAGGUCAGUGUGGGAGAGAUCAUUAGUAUUCAAAAUUUCCUGCCGGAUUCGGU